AAUUCSCCCUUGAGUUUGAUUCUGSMMCAKAUUGAACGCUGGCGGCAUGCUUUACACAUGCAAGUCGAACKGCAGCGCGGGGGCAACCCUGGCGGCGAGUGGCGAACGGGUGAGUAAUGUAUCGGAACGUAUCCUGUAAUGGGGGAUAACCAGUCGAAAGAUUGGGUAAUACCGCAUACGCACGAGAGUGGAAAGUGGAGGAUCGCAAGACUUCACGUUAUAGGAGCGGCCGAUAUCUGAUUAGCUAGUUGGUGGGGUAAAGGCCUACCAAGGCGACGAUCAGUAGCUGGUCUGAGAGGAUGAUCAGCCACACUGGGACUGAGACACGGCCCAGACUCCUACGGGAGGCAGCAGUGGGGAAUUUUGGACAAUGGGCGAAAGCCUGAUCCAGCCAUGCCGCGUGCGGGAAGAAGGCCUUCGGGUUGUAAACCGCUUUAGUCUAGGAAAAAGGGGUGCGGGGUUAAUACCCUCGUGCUUUGAUGGUACUGGAAGAAUAAGCACCGGCUAACUACGUGCCAGCAGCCGCGGUAAUACGUAGGGUGCGAGCGUUAAUCGGAAUUACUGGGCGUAAAGCGUGCGCAGGCGGUCUUGUAAGACAGUUGUGAAAGCCCCGGGCUUAACCUGGGAACUGCAAUUGUGACUGCAAGGCUAGAGUGUGUCAGAGGGGGGUGGAAUUYCACGUGUAGCAGUGAAAAUGCGUAGAGAUGUGGAGGAAACWCCGAWKGGCGAAGGCAGCCCCCUGGGAUAACACUGACGCUCAUUGCACGAAAGCKUGGGGAGCAACAGGGAUUUAGAWUAYCCUGGKURKYCMCGCCCUAAACGAUGUYGACUUGGKUUGUUGGGGUGGGUUAACCACUUWAGUAACGRAAGCYUAACGCGUKGAAGUYCGACCGSCCUGGKGGGAKUACKGGUYSCCAARAUWAAACUYMAARGGAAUUUGACSGGGGACCCGCMMMAGSCGGUGGAAUGAUGUGGUUUAWUUCGAUGGCAACGSGAAAAAA
RNAcentral lists this ribosomal RNA (1001 nucleotides) under uncultured bacterium. Its description in RNAcentral is "partial 16S ribosomal RNA". It matches the Rfam family "Bacterial small subunit ribosomal RNA", at positions 1 to 969 of the family's 1533-position model. The record is from RNAcentral.